This 315-nucleotide long non-coding RNA is filed under the name Brassica napus (rape). RNAcentral's name for it is "long non-coding RNA (BNAP_LNC027092)". The record is from RNAcentral. Lineage: Eukaryota; Viridiplantae; Streptophyta; Magnoliopsida; Brassicales; Brassicaceae.
UUCUCAACUACUCACCCAUAUUAAGUGUCAAAAACAAACAAAUAUCAAAUCAUGUAAUUUUCUAAAUUAUCUAAUAUAUUGGCCAAAAAGUACUGUCAGCUUAAACCCAUUACUAAUGAAAUAAAGAUAUUAUGAUAGAGAGAAACAGUACACUCACUCGUGUAGGAUGAAUGAUAGAUAGUACCAAGACCCACAUGAGUCUCCCCAAAAAAAAAAGCUUGGAGGCAUUAACGAUGUGUACAAUUCUAAUAAAUCCUAAUAUACAUCCACUCAUGAGACCCACAAUGCGUAUUAUUAUUUGUACUAUGAUGAUCA